Molecule: ribosomal RNA, 350 nt
Filed under: uncultured fungus
Lineage: Eukaryota; Fungi
Description: SSU rRNA
Rfam family: Eukaryotic small subunit ribosomal RNA
Source: RNAcentral
GUAGUCAUAUGCUUGUCUCAAAGAUUAAGCCAUGCGUGUCUAAGUAUAAACAAGUUUAUACUGUGAAACUGCGAAUGGCUCAUUAAAUCAGUUAUAGUUUAUUUGAUGAUACCUUGCUACAUGGAUAACUGUGGUAAUUCUAGAGCUAAUACAUGCAAUCAAGCCCCGACUUCUGGGAGGGGUGUAUUUAUUAGGUAAAAAACCAACGCCCUUCGGGGCUCCUUGGUGAAUCAUAAUAACUUAACGAAUCGCAUGGCCUUGCGCCGGCGAUGGUUCAUUCAAAUUUCUGCCCUAUCAACUUUCGAUGGUAGGAUAGUGGCCUACCAUGGUGGCAACGGGUAACGGGGAAU